AUCGAUGGAAAUAUUUCGAACCCCAAUUGGAUAAAAAAAAAAAAAAGGUCCUACCGAUGAUACAAAAAUAUUCUAAAUCAAGAGUUUCCCCAUACAUUAUAGCGUUAAAUGUUGAAAAAAAAAUUGAUUACCAGCAUCGAAAAAAAAAACCGGAAUAAAACGUUUGCGCGGAAAAAUUUCUGGCUCAGAUUAAUAAACAAAAUACCCC
This 208-nucleotide long non-coding RNA is filed under the name Mytilus galloprovincialis (Mediterranean mussel). The record is from RNAcentral. Lineage: Eukaryota; Metazoa; Mollusca; Bivalvia; Mytilida; Mytilidae.